This is a long non-coding RNA of Acinonyx jubatus (cheetah), 4357 nucleotides long. RefSeq lists it as uncharacterized. The transcript has 3 exons. The record is from RefSeq and is a predicted model, not a curated record. NCBI's taxonomy places the organism in Eukaryota, Metazoa, Chordata, Mammalia, Carnivora, Felidae.
AAGCUUUUUAUCUUGAUGAGGUCCCAAAAGUUCAGGUUUGCUUUUAUUUCCCUUGCCUCUGAAGACGUGUCUAGGAAGAAGUUGCUGUGGCCAAGGUCAAAGAAGUUGCUGCCUGUUUUCUCCUGUAAGGUUUUGAUGGUUUCCUGUCUCAUAUUUAGGUCUUUCAUCCAUUUUGAUUUUAUUUUUGUGGAUGGUGUUAAGUAAGUGGUCCAGUUUCUUUCUUCUGCAUGUAAAACAACUGACUUUGGGCCAGGGGACAAUGGGGCCAGGACUUCAGGGGGGGAGGGAUAAUUCGUGAAGGACAGUGGUUGUGCCCUUUGAGACAGGAGUGCAGAUGAGACCCAAGCUACAGCUCAGUCAGGAGGCUUUUAUGACAGAGGGCUGUCCCGCCUGUGUCCUGCCCUAGCCCCAUACUUCCGCCUGUGACUCGAUCAUUUCAGACUAAGACAAUUACUUCUAAUUCCCAAGCCUCCUAACCCUACGUUUCCACUUAUACAGUGUAUGAUUCGAAUGUAAACUGUUGGUGGGGCGGGGGGGGGGGGGGGCUGGGUGGCUCAGUCACUUAAGUGUCUGACUCUUGAUUUGGGUUCAGGUCAUGAUCUCACUGGUACAUGAGAUAGAGACCUGUGUCAGACUCUGCUCUGACAGCUCUGAGCCUGCUUGGGAUUCUCUCUCUCCCUCUCUCUCUCUGCCCCUCCUGCAUGUGCCCUCUCUCUCUCUCUAUCUCUCUUUCAAAAGUAACCAAACAUUUAUAAAUAAAUACAUAAAUAAAUAAAACUAAAAUUUAACAUGACCACAAGCAAACACCUAAAGCUGAACCUACUAUUAUGCCUUUUGAUGUCUACCUGGUCUGCUCCAGGAUUUCAUGUUUGUUCUUCUGCCCCCACCACGAUUCUCCAGACAGACACCCACAGCACCCACAGGAGACCCUCUGGUCAGCGAGGCUGUCCCAGCAGUAAAGCACUUUUACCAAGACUGUCUUAGAAGACAUGUGCUUGGCCUGAUGGCCCGAGGCUCUCAGAACCCAUCUUCGGAGUUGUGAGCAUACCCCCCAAUUCUUUAAAGUGUGGGUCCAGUGAGUGGAGUUGUAGGACAUCAGACACAAGGCAAAUAAAGAUCCAGCCCCUUUCACUUUCAUGCUUCUGCGAAGAAAAGAAGAAAACAAAACCAAUACCGUAUCAGGAGGAGGGCGUGGAAACUUAUGCAGGUGUGUGCAAGUUUCCCGCAGAGAAACUUCUGGGAGAUACUGGAUCUCCUGAACCUGUGAGUUCAGCAUGGGGAGAUUCUGUUCAGGUAACUUCUAGUUACCCUAACCAGCGCGCCUCCCUCCUACUCCCUUCUCCUGUUUGUAGUUUUCAGAGCUGUUUACACAAUCUCUUGAUAUCUCUCCUGUCUAUAAGCCCAAGUUACUAAGCCUGAUCCAUGCUGCUGCUUUGAUAUUGGCGACUGUGUUCCCCAGCCCUCUGUAUACCUUGAUCCAACCCAGAGCAGAUCUAAGGGAGGAUGGGAGACAUCAGUGAGGACUGACCCUUGUGACUGUCCCGUUGGAUGCACAGACCAAAAGCCAAGUGAUGACGAAACAGGUGACUGAAGCCACAUUACCCAACUAAGCUCCAAGCUAUUUUACACCCACUCUCCUCUGAGAUCUCUGGCACUCUCUCCCUCCUUCCUCAGCUCUGAUGUUGGUUGACUGUUUGUUUGUUUGUUUGUUUGUUUGUUUGUUUUAAAUCAUGCUGCAAAGCCUACUCAGAAAGAAUGGCAAGGGAAGGUUUUAUUUAACACUCUCACUUCUUCUCCCAGAAGUCUUCCUUUGCCCUUUUCCAUGGACCCCUUUUAUGGAAGAAGAGACUCAGGUUAUUACAACAAGGAUGAUGACAGAGCCUGGACCUCGGGCAGCAAAAGGGGAGGCAUUGAAAUGUAUCUCUUUCUGGAUGAAGACCUGGCCCAAGUUCAGAGUCACGAGUUAAAGACUGAGACAUACUGAAUAGGCGUGGAUAAUUUGAUUAAAUCCAACUGCUGUUUAUGGAGGACCUACUGUGUGUGCCGGACUCCGUGUGAUGGGGAGUUUUGAGCAGCGGGGCUCCAAGGAGCCAAGUCAUGAAGGACAGCAUAGGCCAUGCUGAGGAUUCGUUUUACUGUAUCCUCAGGGCACAGGUUCUGGGAGCUGAAAAACCCAAGAUCAAGGCACUGGCAGAUUCAGUGUCUGGUGAGAGUCGACUUCCUGGUUUGUAGACGGCCAUCUUCUCUCUGUGUCCUCACAUGGCUGAAGGGUCAAGAGCGAUUCCUGCGGUUUUAUAAGGGCACCAUGUAUAAGGACUCUGCGCUUAGGGCCUAAUCACCUCCCAAAGUCCCCUUCUCCAAAUACCAUGCCAUCGGGCAUUAGGAUUUAACAUGAAUUUGGGGGAGACCAGUCUAUAGCACAGAUCUUAGAAGUCUGGUCCUGGGCUCCCACAGCUCCCAGCUGCAACUGGUUCAUGAAGAGGACCUGGUGCUCACGGUAGAGUGGGGAGGACGUGCAGGAGCUGGGAGGGUUCUCAGAGCUGGGCCCACACCUGCUCCACCUCAGUGACGCCCUGGAUAGCAGAGGAGCUUCGAAGGAGCCCAGGGCCGGACGCACCUGUGUGAGUGGGAUGGUGCAGUGAUGGGCCAACCGUGGGCACCCUCCUUGAUGACUGAGCCCUGAUUUGGACAUCUAACGGAGGUGGUGUGUGGGAAGAACAGACACUGACUCUGCUUUGUCCGUGGCCCAACAACCAUAGCUGCUACCCCUGGAGACAUUUUCUGGUGAUGCAGAGGCUCAGCCCUCCUUCCUCCUUAAGAUGUUCAUAGCAAGUAUGAAUUUCCAUCCAAAAAUGCAGGUGGGCAAAAAGCAAAAAUGAUCAUUUUUAUUGCGAACCCCCAUUCCGCUGGACUGGUGGACAUUCAGCCUUCCAGUUCGGCUCUCCCCCUUUUCUGGAGUUUGUGGCUAAAUUUGGGAGUACUUGGGUGGUGCAAAGGCUUAGGGAAGGCCCCAGCUGGCCCUGAGACACCUGUGCUCCCAGGCGUCCCCUGAGGUGUCUGCUGUACAUCUAUCCCACGUUCGUCAAUUCAUGUGUGUCCCACUGAGAAGACCUUGUCUCUCGGACCCAUGGGCCGGCUUGACCACGUCCGAAUCGCUGCUUCAGUGUCCUGGUGGUGCCACCUGUGACCCUGCUACUUGGACCUGUCAGACGAAUGGUCCUUCUCUGAGGUCUCGCUGGGACACAGCCACCUCUUGAAGACAGCCCCCCCCCCCCACCAAUGCUCUUGCUUUUCCAUUUCUCCUCACCGGUGACUUCCUCAGCUACCUGCACGGUGAAAUCCCUCCCUCCGUAAAUGGUGAUUUUUAAAAAAAAAUUUUUUUUGCCAGGGAAACUUAGCACUAUUAUUAUUUCUAAAACAUUAUUCUUCCACAGUAUCUUCCUAAUAAGUUCCUGUGUCCCCACAAAGAAGGGAGACACCGGGCUCUACCCCCACCCAAACUGUGCCUAGCUCUGUGGGUGAAUCAUUCCCCGGGGUCAUCAGAGAGAGCUAGCCAAGAUUGGACAGUGGGCAAAGAUCUCUCCUCCCUCCUCCUGGUGCUGUACUCUUCCUUGAUUGGAGCACCGAGUCCUCCCCAGCUAGGAGCCCAGCAGAACUUUUCUUGAAUUUGGAUUAGCUUCUGAGUGUCUCCCUCAAAUGGGGACGCUCUCCCUGUAGACUCUGCCUUAAAAGCAGCAGUAAAUGCACACUGCCUCCUGCCCUCGACCUCCAGCCACAUCUGCUUCUUCCUCAGUUAUCGACCCAUCCCUGGGCCUCAGCUGCCUGAUGUGGCAGGGGUGUGGGGUCAGCUGGGUCUAGAAUCUUGUGGGACCCUCAUGGCUCCUGCCUCUGCUCCCCUGGUCUCCCGAGACCUUUCCAAGCACACCUCACUUUCACACUGUCAGCUGAAAGUUCUGGAUUUAUGGGUCAAGACUCCCAUGAAAUGUCAACAAAUCCUAGAAGACAGCCCAAGAGGACACUUACAGGUCCUAAACUCUAGAGAGUGGUCUUAGCACUAUGCCUUGUUCACUGUAGCUUUGCUGCGGGUUCAGAAUCUUCCCCUGAAUUCCGUUUCUGCAUUAAGCUUCCCUGACUGUGGACACUCGGGACCCUCAGUCUUACCUGCCUCAGGUAGAGAGGCUCCUGCCUGAUGUCUCGUGACAUCUGCUAAGUGCCAGCCAGGGCUGCUGGUUCUUAUAAAAACCCUUCUGCCCUAGAGGCAGACCCCUGGCAGGUGCUUUUGGAACUGCUCAUUUCCUCUCUGAGAAGAGGAUCAGUUCUUUUUUUUUUUUUUUUUUAAGUUUAUUUAUUUAUUUUG